UCAUUCUAAGUUACCUCUAUCUUUCAAGGUUUUAGGACUCUGAUUAAAAAUCAAAUUAAUCAGAAAAUUUGUAUUUUGCGAUUUGAUAAUGCCAAAGAAUAUAUGCAUGCUACUUCUGCGUCCUUUUUCUCUUCCAAAGGCAUUUUUCAUCAAAAGUCUUGUGCAUAUACUCCACAAUAAAAUGGAGUUGCAGAGCACAAAAAUCGUCAUUUGUUAAAAGUUACUCGUGCUCUUCUUUGUCAUAUGCUUGUCGUUGAACGUUUUUUGAGUGAUGAUGUCCUUAGUGCAUGCUAUCUCAUUAAUCACAUGCCAUUCUUUGUUUUGGUCAAAGUAUCACCCUUCUCUCUUCUGUUUUCCUCCUCUCCAUAGUACUCAUUACCUUUCAAUGUUUUUUGAGUGUGUUAUAUUCAUUUCUUUGAUCCUGGUCAUGACAAGCUUGCUUCUCGCUCCAUGAAAUGUAUUUUCCUUGGUUAUUCUUAAACACAAAAGAAGUAUUGAUACUAUAGUCCUCUAUAUCGCUAUUUUGUAAAUGUGGAUGUCAUUUUCAAUGAGUCCACAUCUUAUUUCUCUAAUCAUAAAACAUUUCUUGACUCCAAUCGAGAUCCCUUACACUUACCCAUCCAUAUCUGCCAGUUGGUAUUUCUUUGGAACUAGACCUGUCUUCGUCUAUAGCACUAGAACUGUCGUCCUCUCAUAAGGAACCACCUCACCCUCUACGAGUUUAUACUCGACGAUCUAAGCCAUCAAAGCUUGUGACCUAAUUCGUCACAUUGCUGUCUGCAGAUCAUGCAUCUGUUAUCUGUUCUGAUCUUGAGUCAUUGCUCUUCGUAAAGAUAAACGUAGUUAUGUAACUAAACAUCUUAUCAAUCAUUAUGUCACUUCUAAUUCGUUGUCGCCUUCAUUUUCAUGUUUCACAUUCUAGCUUUCUAGUGUUUUUGUUCCUAAGAUAGUGACAGAAACUUUAUCUGAUCUUGAGUGACGGAAGGCUAUGGAAUUAGAGGUGGCAGCUUUACAUGAGAAUAAGACUUGGGAUCCCGUUUCUUCACCACCUGGAAUACGUCCUGUUGGUAACAGUGACUUACAUGAAGAAGUUUAUAUGGAGCAACCAACUGGGUUUGUUGCUCGAGGGGUGUACUAGAAGUGCAAGUUGAAAAAAGGCUUUAUAUGAGUUAAAGCAACUUCCAAAGGCAUGGUUAGAGAAGUUUUUUGAGGUUGUCAUAGAAUUUGGUCUUCAAAGAUGAGAUUGCCAAUUGAAACAGUUUCUACAAAAACACUUUCAGACUAAAGAUUUAGGUAAGCUCCAAUAUUUCUUGAGUAUUAAAAUCGCUAGGUCUCGAGCAUGUAUCAACUUAUCUUAGAGAAAGUAUGUAUUUGAUCUCUUAGAUGAGAUGGGUUUUCUUGGAACUCGUCCAGUUGAUAUUGCCAUGGAUCCUAAUGUGAAGCUUUUAAAUGAUGAAAGAGAAAUCUAUGGGGAACCAAGAAAGUAUCAUCGUUUGGUUAGAAAAGUGAAUUAUCUUACCAUCACAUGACCAAUUAUUUUCUAUGCAGUUAUUAUCAUUAGUCAAUUAUUGGAUGCUACUUGGGUUUCUCAUUGAGAAGCAGUGAUACGUAUUCUUCGGUAUUUAAAAAAUGCUCCGGGCCUUGAAUUAUUGUAUAAACUUAAUGGACAUAUCAGAAUAAAAGGCUUACAAAUGCAGAUUGGAUAGGAUCUCUAUCAAAUAGACAAUCCACUACACGUUUCUGCCCUUUCCUUGGUGGUAAUCCUAUCUUUUGGAAAAGUAAGAAACAAGUGUGCUAACAAGGUCAAGUACAGAAGUAGAAUAUAGAAUAUAGGGCAAUUACUCAUAUUAAAAGUGAGUUGACAUGGUUGCAACAUUUUUCAAAAAAUUAAUCUUUCACCUCCUGCCCCUAUUCCAAUUUUUUGUGAUAAUCAAGCUGCUCUACAUACUGCAUCCAAUCAGUCUUCCAUAAAAGAAUUAAAUACAUUGAAGUUGAUUGUCACUUUGUUCGAGACAAGAUAGUAAGUGGUGAUAUAUGUACAUCAUUUGUAAAUAUAGGGGAUUAGCUUGAUGAUAUGUUUACAAAGUCGGUGAAUAGAAAUCGAUUGAGGUUUCUUUGUUCAAAGCUAGGCUUAUAUGAUAUAUAUGCUCUAGUUUGAGAGAGUGUUAAGGAAAUAAGUAUAUUAGAAUCAGAGGCGAAUCCAGGAGUUUAAGUCAGCACGACCGUCGACCACAAUAAAAUAUUAAG
This is a long non-coding RNA of Olea europaea var. sylvestris, 2247 nucleotides long. RefSeq lists it as uncharacterized. Lineage: Eukaryota; Viridiplantae; Streptophyta; Magnoliopsida; Lamiales; Oleaceae. The transcript has 3 exons. The record is from RefSeq and is a predicted model, not a curated record.